Molecule: microRNA precursor, 74 nt
Filed under: Bombyx mori (domestic silkworm)
Lineage: Eukaryota; Metazoa; Arthropoda; Insecta; Lepidoptera; Bombycidae
Description: mir-2807 microRNA precursor family
Rfam family: mir-2807 microRNA precursor family
Source: Rfam by way of RNAcentral
UUAACUCAAAUUUGUAAGCAGUAGAACCGUUUGCCGUUAGGGGCGCUGUUUCAACUGCAUACAAAUUUGAGUAU